Molecule: ribosomal RNA, 349 nt
Filed under: uncultured bacterium
Lineage: Bacteria
Description: partial 16S ribosomal RNA
Rfam family: Bacterial small subunit ribosomal RNA
Source: RNAcentral
CCUACGGGUGACAGCAGUGAGGAAUAUUGGUCAAUGGACGCAAGUCUGAACCAGCCAAGUAGCGUGCAGGAUGACGGCCCUCCGGGUUGUAAACUGCUUUUAGGUGGGAAUAAAAGGGGGCGCGUGAGCCCCGUAGUGUAUGUACCAUCAGAAAAAGGACCGGCUAAUUCCGUGCCAGCAGCCGCGGUAAUACGGAAGGUCCGGGCGUUAUCCGGAUUUAUGGGGUUGAAAGGGAGCGUAGGCCGGCUUUUAAGUCAGCUGGGCAAGUCCGCGGCUCAACCGUGGAAUUGCAGUUGAAACUGGAGGCCUUGCGUGCACACCGGGAUGCCGGAAUUCCUGGUGUAGCGGU